This 155-nucleotide small nuclear RNA is filed under the name Moschus moschiferus (Siberian musk deer). RNAcentral describes it as "U2 spliceosomal RNA (ENSMMSG00000010007.1)". It matches the Rfam family "U2 spliceosomal RNA". Rfam says of the family: U2 is a small nuclear RNA (snRNA) component of the spliceosome (involved in pre-mRNA splicing). The record is from RNAcentral. Lineage: Eukaryota; Metazoa; Chordata; Mammalia; Artiodactyla; Moschidae.
AUCGCUUCUCGGCCUUUUGGCUAAGAUCAAGUGCAGUCUUAAUACUCACUGCUAAGUGAUUUAACUCUUUUGUUGUUCACUUUUGGUUUUUUUUUUUUUAAGUAGAAAUUUCUAAGGGAGGGAUUUCAGUUACCUGCUGUGAUGCCCCAGUUUGU